RNAcentral lists this ribosomal RNA (497 nucleotides) under uncultured bacterium. RNAcentral's name for it is "partial 16S ribosomal RNA". It matches the Rfam family "Bacterial small subunit ribosomal RNA", at positions 28 to 507 of the family's 1533-position model. The record is from RNAcentral.
GAUGAACGCUGGCGGCGUGCCUAAUACAUGCAAGUCGAGCGAACAGACGAGGAGCUUGCUCCUCUGACGUUAGCGGCGGACGGGUGAGUAACACGUGGAUAACCUACCUAUAAGACUGGGAUAACUUCGGGAAACCGGAGCUAAUACCGGAUAAUAUAUUGAACCGCAUGGUUCAAUAGUGAAAGACGGUUUUGCUGUCACUUAUAGAUGGAUCCGCGCCGCAUUAGCUAGUUGGUAAGGUAACGGCUUACCAAGGCAACGAUGCGUAGCCGACCUGAGAGGGUGAUAGGCCACACUGGAACUGAGACACGGUCAAGACUCCUACGGGAGGCAGCAGUAGGGAAUCUUCCGCAAUGGGCGAAAGCCUGACGGAGCAACGCCGCGUGAGUGAUGAAGGUCUUCGGAUCGUAAAACUCUGUUAUGAGGGAAGAACAAAUGUGUAAGUAACUAUGCACGUCUUGACGGUACCUAAUCAGAAAGCCACGGCUAACUACGUG